GUGGAUUAGAUACCCUGGUAGUCCACGCCCUAAACGAUGUCAACUAGUUGUCGGGUCUUAAUUGACUUGGUAACGCAGCUAACGCGUGAAGUUGACCGCCUGGGGAGUACGGUCGCAAGAUUAAAACUCAAAGGAAUUGACGGGGACCCGCACAAGCGGUGGAUGAUGUGGAUUAAUUCGAUGCAACGCGAAAAACCUUACCUACCCUUGACAUGUACGGAAGCCUUGAGAGAUUGAGGCGUGCUCGAAAGAGAGCCGUAACACAGGUGCUGCAUGGUUGUCGACAGCU
Molecule: ribosomal RNA, 289 nt
Filed under: uncultured bacterium
Lineage: Bacteria
Description: partial 16S ribosomal RNA
Rfam family: Bacterial small subunit ribosomal RNA
Source: RNAcentral